Molecule: ribosomal RNA, 366 nt
Filed under: uncultured bacterium
Lineage: Bacteria
Description: bacterial SSU rRNA
Rfam family: Bacterial small subunit ribosomal RNA
Source: RNAcentral
GCGAACGCUGGCGGCAGGCCUAACACAUGCAAGUCGAACGGCUCCUUCGGGGGCAGUGGCAGACGGGUGAGGAACGCGUGGGAACGUGCCCAUCGGUUCGGGAUAACCCGGGGAAACCCGGGCUAAUACCGGAUACGUGCGAGAGCAGAAAGAUUUAUCGCCGAUGGAUCGGCCCGCGUCUGAUUAGCUUGUUGGUGGGGUAACGGCCCACCAAGGCGACGAUCAGUAGCUGGUCUGAGAGGAUGAUCAGCCACACUGGGACUGAGACACGGCCCAGACUCCUACGGGAGGCAGCAGUGGGGAAUAUUGGACAAUGGGCGCAAGCCUGAUCCAGCCAUGCCGCGUGAGUGAUGAAGGCCUUAGGGU